UCCCACUCAGGGUUGCAUCUGGAGAAUUUCCAGUACUUUACCAGUCUCGACUAUGGGAGGAAGAGUAAAGCAGAGGCAUAUCCAUUCCAUUCCUAGCUUGGGCAGUGGCUAGAGAGUGAAAGGAAAUCUGCUACAAGU
Small nucleolar RNA from Tachyglossus aculeatus (Australian echidna), 138 nucleotides. The record is from RefSeq and is a predicted model, not a curated record. Lineage: Eukaryota; Metazoa; Chordata; Mammalia; Monotremata; Tachyglossidae.